GUAAGUUAUGGUGAAGUAAAAUCACAUAACCAAGGUGAUAAGACUAGUGAUUUUACGAGUGUGGAGCUUGAAGAUCAUGAGUAAGAUUGCGUAUAAGACUUUACUUUGUUAUAUAUUUUAACAAGAUUACUUAUCAUGUGAUUAAGUUGUUAUAUAAUUUAUGUAGGAGGAAUAAUAUUUCGGCAAUUUUUUAGGAGAAUUCGUAGACCAAAUUUUGCUAUAUUUGGAGGGAUUACCCAAUCAGCCAGUUAUAGUGGUUAUGCAGAUGAUAAAAGCACACAAAUUUCAAGGCAGGUAUUCUGUGCGUAAUACUUGGCAUGUUUCAAAGCUCUGGAUUAAUACGAAUCUUCCUCAAGCUGUUGAUUUUAAGUCCAGUGAAUCUGCAACUUGAAAAAUAAUGGUUACAUUAGGGGUGCAAGAGAUGCUCGGAGAAGGUUGAUAAAAUUGGAAGUCAAUUUCACCGCAAAAAAUGUGAUCGCCUUGAUAGUUCUGCCAUUCAUAGGUACAAGCUUCAAGUGCAAGUAAUGAAUCGCACUAGCUUUAUAUCUUUGUUGCUUUGGGAUCGUGAAGCAAUAAAACUCAUAGGGAAAUCUGCUAACGAGUUAAAUCAAAGUUCAGUAGAGGUUUUCAUGGCUGAUAAUGAGAUGCUUUCUCCUGCAAGGAAUCCUGCCAAGAGAAGUAGAGAAGAGAAUGAACCAUAUGUAGUAGAAGUUGAUUAUAAUCUUGCAUAAUUAUCAAGUAAUAAGGUCAAAAGAGUGAUUACACAGGAGAAAAAUUGUCACGACCCAA
This is a non-coding RNA of Nicotiana tabacum (common tobacco), 789 nucleotides long. NCBI's taxonomy places the organism in Eukaryota, Viridiplantae, Streptophyta, Magnoliopsida, Solanales, Solanaceae. The record is from RefSeq and is a predicted model, not a curated record.